RNAcentral lists this ribosomal RNA (464 nucleotides) under Vreelandella stevensii. Its description in RNAcentral is "partial 16S ribosomal RNA". It matches the Rfam family "Bacterial small subunit ribosomal RNA", at positions 338 to 795 of the family's 1533-position model. The record is from RNAcentral. Lineage: Bacteria; Pseudomonadati; Pseudomonadota; Gammaproteobacteria; Oceanospirillales; Halomonadaceae.
CCUACGGGUGGCAGCAGUGGGGAAUAUUGGACAAUGGGCGAAAGCCUGAUCCAGCCAUGCCGCGUGUGUGAAGAAGGCCUUCGGGUUGUAAAGCACUUUCAGUGGGGAAGAAAGCCUUGGGGCUAAUACCCUCGAGGAAGGACAUCACCCACAGAAGAAGCACCGGCUAACUCCGUGCCAGCAGCCGCGGUAAUACGGAGGGUGCGAGCGUUAAUCGGAAUUACUGGGCGUAAAGCGCGCGUAGGCGGUCUGAUAAGCCGGUUGUGAAAGCCCCGGGCUCAACCUGGGAACGGCAUCCGGAACGGUCAGGCUAGAGUGCAGGAGAGGAAGGUAGAAUUCCCGGGGUAGCGGUGAAAUGGGUAGAGAUCGGGAGGAAUACCAGUGGCGAAGGCGGCCUUCUGGACUGACACUGACGCUGAGGUGCGAAAGCGUGGGUAGCAAACAGGAUUAGAUACCCUGUAGUC